This is a long non-coding RNA of Passer domesticus (house sparrow), 3748 nucleotides long. RefSeq lists it as uncharacterized. NCBI's taxonomy places the organism in Eukaryota, Metazoa, Chordata, Aves, Passeriformes, Passeridae. The transcript has 2 exons. The record is from RefSeq and is a predicted model, not a curated record.
GGGGCUGUGUCACAGCGGCACCUCUGUGGCUGUGUCAUGGAGGCACAGAGCAGCUGUGAUGUCAGAAAGAGACUGUGUGACAGCACAGAGUGGACUGUGUGACAGCACAGAGUGGGCUGUGUGAGGUCACAGACUGGGCUAUGAGACCACAGAGUUUAUUGUGUGAGGUCACUGAGCAGCUAUGACAUCAUAGAUGGGAGUGUGUGACAUCACAUAGUUUCUUGUGUGAGGUCAUUGAGCAGCUAUGACAUCAUAGAGGGGACUCUGUGACAUCACACAGCAGGCUGUGACAUCAUGGCAUAUCUGUAUGACACCAUAGAGCAGACUGUCAGGUCAAAGUAUGUGCUGUGACAUUACAGAGUGGCAGUAUGACAUCACAGAGAGGGUUUUAUGACAUCACUGAAGGGCUUGUGACAUCACAGAGCUGGCAAUUGUUAUGAGUUUUGUUUUAAUGAAGUUGGGGAAGAAUGGGGGUUGCUUGUUGUGGGGGAAGGGAAGCGUCCAGGACUUGGUGGGGGCUGGAGGUGGAUGGUGAUUGGACCAGGGCACCGACCAAUCACUCAACGCCCUGGGGAAAUGAUUGGUCCAGAAUGAACAUCAGUAAGGACCAAGCAAAGCGCCCGAAUUCCACCAAUCGGUGCGUGGAUCCAAAACCCACCAAUCCUGGACCAGGGACUGUUAUAAAAAGGGGGGUUUUCAGGUCUUCGGGGUUCUUUCGGGUUUGUUCGUGUUGGUGUUCAUGUAUUUUUGAAAGAACCCAGCGUGUGAGAAGCACACUGCUUUUGGAAUUUUGAGCUGUUGUGAAAGACCUGGGCUUAUCUUGGGUCUUCUGUUCUCUUUGACUUAUUUUUAAUAAAUGAGAGCCUGUUUCAACCUCUCUUCUAAAAUUUUGCCUUGUUCGAUUUAUAACAUCUUUGGGGACUCGUCCGGGGUCAGCCACGACCCUGAAGCGGUCCGGGAUAGCCCGGGCCCGAGAAGACGUUUCCAGCCACAUUUUUCGGCUGCUCGGAUCUUGGACUACGUUGGACCGAGGAGGGGAACGUGCUGACUCCCGAGGUCAGAGAAAACGACAACAGCUCAAAGGAUCAGAAGAUCAAAGGAAAGAAAUAGAGCAUUCUCCCACACAUCUAGCAAUCUGGCCCUAAAAAGAACAGAAGAAACAAGUUGAUAAAAAAAGGGAAAGUGAACUCCUGCAACAGUAACUGGUAAGAGUAACACGUUAAGAAAAAGAGCGAGAGGGGGGCAAGACCGGAUCAAGUUACACUCUUGCCACAAAGAGUUGCUGAUCCUCUACGGAGGGGAGACAUGAUUGGGAGAGUGGCUUGUACCGGACCCCCAUUCCUAGGAAUCCUCCUACUUAUGAUCAUCAACAAGGGAGAGACAGAACCAUGCGAGAAGUGUUACUACCCUUUGUAUGCAGGAGAGUCUCGGACUGCCGUCCUCAGGACACACACUAACCCGAGUCCUAAUUGUAUCAACUUUUUGUCAGUAACAACUUGUAUGGAGGAUGGAAAAACAUAUUGGCUAUUCGAAAAUAUAGGAAAUUUUAAACAAAAAUUGUUGGGGGAAUGCCCUAUGAAAGAGAAGUGGGUCUGUUCUGAGAAGAAACCCAUUGAAGGACAAGUAGGAUAUGAGGAUUAUGAACCCGAUUUGAUAAAAGAAAAAGAAAUAAAAUGGGUGAUUAAAAAGGGACCGAAAAUCCCAACUCUGGGAGGGAAAAAUCUAUUCCUCGACCUAGCGGAAAAGAUAAGUCACGAAUUUAACAUCUCUAACUGCUGGAUUUGUGGAGAUACUUGUAUGGCUGAAAUUUGGCCAUGGGAGGGAAUCCCCAUGAGUCCACAGGACGUACUUAGAAUUCUAGACAAAGAAGGAUCCGAGCGAGACAACCGACCGGAGGAAGAGGCAUGGAACCUACGAUCCGAAAUGAUUGGUGAAGAGUGCCUUUGGAGGAGGCAUCCAGAGUACACCGUGUAUUUGGGUGAGAUCCAUUGUAAGAGUUAUUUAGUCAUGAAUAAAACCUAUCAGUGGUGGAUUCCCAAACGUCCGCACUUAUAUUGGUCAAGGUCCAAAAGAUCCCAAUGCUCUUAUAUAGAAAGAGAAAAGUUAUAUGAAUGCCCUACCAGAGAGCCCAAUCCAUUCUGGGAUGCACCCCAAAUUGCCAAAUUUUGGAACAAAACCAACUAUAACUUAGAAAGCCAACUUCAGUUUUGGAGAGCUCCAAAAAAUUUAUAUUGGCUGUGUGGAAAAAGAGCGUAUGUAGUCCUGCCAAAAGGAUGGGCUGGGAGUUGUACCCUGGGCGUAAUAAGACCCUCCUUCUUUCUCCUCCCCAGGAUAGAAGGGCAUCAUUUAGGGGUACCUCUCUAUGAUGAGUUAGCCGGAAAAAGCGAGAGUUGUCCAUAGGAGGCACUCAACAAUGGGGAGAGGAAGAAUGGCCACCAGAACGUAUCAUUGCCACCUACGGCCCAGCUACUUGGGCUCAAGAUGGGUCAUGGGGAUAUAGGACUCCUAUUUACAUGCUAAACAGAAUAAUCAGGUUACAAGCUUUAUUAGAAAUUAUUUCCAACCAAUCCACACUAACAAUAGACCUCCUCAAUGCCCAAUCGAGGCAGAUGAGAACCAUGAUAUACCAAAACCGGCUAGCUUUAGACUACCUUCUAGCCGAAAGAAGGAGUGGUAUGUGGGAAAUUUAAUUCCUCGGAAUGCUGUAUUGAAAUAGAUGAUCACAGUGAAGUAAUUACCAAUAUCAUGACUAACAUCAGAAAAUUAGCCCACGUCCCUGUUCAAAGGUGGACCCCAUUGAUACAGACUGAUUGGGGAAAUUGGUGGAAUAACUUAUUAAAAGGUGAUAGGUGGAAGAAAGUACUGAUUGUCUUAGGUGGUGCCCUAAUAAGUAUCAUGUUUCUUCCAUGUAUGAUCCCAUGCCUCAUCCGGGUCGUUACGAGAACUGUGAUCAACUCCCUCGAACUCACCCUCAAAAGUGGAGAAAAAGACAAAGAUGCUAACAACAUUUUAAUGUUACAAGGACAAGGGAUGGAACCCAACCCAGUGGCAGAGAAUGAUGAAACUGCGGCAGAGACUUACAGAAGAUACCAGAAAUUAAGAGAAUUGUACACUAUCAAAGAAGAAACUAUUUAAAAACAGUUCAAAAUGAACUGUUUGGAGAAACUGUUAAAAACAGCUCAGAAAUGAACUGUUAAGAGACUAUUUAAAAAGACUGUUUAAACUAAAGACUGAGUGGGAGUUGAUGCGGGUUGAUGAGGGCUAAAGCCUGAUCAAAGUUUUAGAGGGGGAGUUGUUAUGAGUUUUGUUUUAAUAAAGUUGGGGAAGAAUGGGGGUUGCUCGUUGUGGGGGAAGGGAAGCGUCCAGGACUUGGUGGGGGCUGGAGGUGGAUGGUGAUUGGACCAGGGCACCGACCAAUCACUCGACGCCCUGGGGAAAUGAUUGGUCCAGAAUGAACAUCAGUAAGGACCAAGCAAAGCGCCCGAAUUCCACCAAUCGGUGCGUGGAUCCAAAACCCACCAAUCCUGGACCAGGGACUGUUAUAAAAAGGGGGGUUUUCAGUUCUUCGGGGUUCUUUCGGGUUUGUUCGUGUUGGUGUUCGUGUAUUUUUGAAAGAACCCAGCGUGUGAGAAGCACACUGCUUUUGGAAUUUUGAGCUGUUGUGAAAGACCUGGGCUUAUCCUGGGUCUUCUGUUCUCUUUGACUUAUUUUUAAUAAAUGAGAGCCUGUUUCAACCUCUCUUCUGAAA